CUUGUAGUGUACAGCGACUCUGACAAUAGCGAUAUAAUAAACUUGCAAGCGUAUUUGACCGUGUAUUGAUAUCACAUCCUAUGAAUAUUUCAUCAUCACGCACCUUUAUCGCAGUAACAGACAGGAAGAUUGACAGAAAUAAUGUUUUGUCUUCUUGCAACAAUUAUUAUAUAUUUGCAGCCGUAUUUGCCAAAAUGUAAAAAAAAAGAAAACAUACAGCAAAGAAACAAAAAAAGAGGAAGAGAGAGGUAAAAAGCUGCCCGGCGUAGUUCAUAUAAAAUGUUAAAAAUGUUAAACUGUAUAGUAAAAAUGAAAUGAAUCUGUAAAAACAAGAUAUACUUUUAGCUGGACUUUGAAAUUUUGAUUUCAGGAAACUGCACCAUGAUUCAGCAUUUCACAAAAUAAAAUCAAUCAGCGCUGCAUAUGUUGAUGUAGACAAAGCUUUGGAUUCGGUGGUGGUAGCAUCUCCUGCGGCCGCAUCUGUAGCUCAUCUUUUAGUUGUUCUUGUUUUUUCGAAAGUUUUGGUUCACUUGACUUUUCAACCAUGUUUGCAGCUGCGUCGAGACAUUCUAUCCAGUCCUUUUGAGUUUCACUUAUUUGGUUAAAGAUUGUUCUGGUUAGCUCUUCUUUUGCUGCUUCUGUGAGAAUCUCUUUCAGUAAAUAUUCUCCCUCCUCCAAGAUCACUGUGUCAAAUACAAUUCUUCUGCUACAGCAGCAUUCACAGCAUCUCUUCCAGUCGAACAGUGACAUCAGGGCUGCCAGAAAAAUGAUGCCAAAGAGCAGAACGAAGCCAAUGUUCUGAAAAGGAAUCGUGAAGACAUCAGGCUGAUCGGUCAGAAUAAGAACAAUGUACAACCUGAAAAUAAGACUUUUCUAGAUUACAGCAAACAUACCAGUCUCCAUCCAUGAGCACAGAAACGACCCACAGCAGACCAACACAGCCUGCUUUGAGAAUACGAGUGAGAAGAACUCCACAUAACUCUGUCCUACAGCAUUUAGUCUGC
Molecule: long non-coding RNA, 1004 nt
Organism: Astatotilapia calliptera (eastern happy)
Lineage: Eukaryota; Metazoa; Chordata; Actinopteri; Cichliformes; Cichlidae
Source: Ensembl